UAAUUAUAUAUCUUCAUAUUGCACGAAAUUUAUUCUAUUACUCAUUUAAAUUAAUUCAAGUAUGAUCAAUUGGUGUAUCAAUCUUAUUUUUAUCAAUAGCAACAGCAUUUUUAGGUGCAAUAGUAAUCACAAAUUUAAUUUCAGCAAUUCCAUAUAUUGGUCAAUUUACCGUUGAAUGAAUUUGAGGAGGAUUUUCAAUUAAUAAUGAUACAUUAAAUCGAUUUUAUUCAUUUCAUUUCAUUUUACCAUUUAUUAUUUUAUUAAUAGUAUUUAUACAUUUAAUAAUUUUACAUAUUACAGGUUCUUCAAAUCCUAUUCAUUCAAAAAUAAAUAUUUACAAAAUCAAUUUCCAUCCAUAUUUUACUAUUAAAGAUUUAAUCACCAUUAUUUUUACAUUUACAAUAUUUAUAUUAAUUAAUUUACAAUUACCUUUCAUAUUAAGAGAUCCUGAUAAUUUUAAAAUAGCAAAUCCUAUAAUUACACCAAUUCAUAUUAAACCUGAAUGAUAUUUCUUAUUUGCAUAUUCAAUUUUACGAACAAUUCCAAAUAAAUUAGGAGGUGUAAUUAUAUUAUUUAUAUCUAUUUUUAUUUUAUAUAUUAU
Molecule: unclassified non-coding RNA, 601 nt
Filed under: Bombus terrestris (buff-tailed bumblebee)
Lineage: Eukaryota; Metazoa; Arthropoda; Insecta; Hymenoptera; Apidae
Description: misc RNA ENSBTSG00005034022.1
Source: RNAcentral